This 486-nucleotide ribosomal RNA is filed under the name uncultured bacterium. RNAcentral's name for it is "partial 16S ribosomal RNA". It matches the Rfam family "Bacterial small subunit ribosomal RNA", at positions 28 to 507 of the family's 1533-position model. The record is from RNAcentral.
AUUGAACGCUGGCGACAUGCCUUACACAUGCAAGUCGAGCGGCAGCACGGGUGCUUGCACCUGGUGGCGAGUGGCGAACGGGUGAGUAAUACAUCGGGACAUGUCCUGUAGUGGGGGAGAGCCCGGCGAAAGCCGGGUUGAUACCGCAUACGAUCUACGUCUGCAGGCGGGGGCCCUUCGGACCUCGCGCUAUCGGGUUGGCCGAUGGCUGAUUAGCUAGUUGGUGGGGUAAAGGCCUACCAAGGCGACGAUCAGUAGCUGGUCUGAGAGGACGACCAGUCACACUGGGACGGAGACACGGCCCAGACUCCUACGGGAGGCAGCAGUGGGGAAUUUUGGACAAUGGGCGAAAGCCUGAUCCAGCAAUGCCGCGUGUGUGAAGAAGGCCUUCGGGUUGUAAAGCACUUUUGUCAGGAAAGAAAUCCUUGGCCCUAAUACGGGCGGGGGAUGACGGUACCGGAAGAAUAAGCACCGGCUAACUACGUG